RNAcentral lists this non-coding RNA (912 nucleotides) under Idiosepius hallami. RNAcentral describes it as "12S ribosomal RNA". The stretch from base 491 to 905 matches the Rfam family "Microsporidia small subunit ribosomal RNA", at positions 752 to 1303 of the family's 1311-position model. Lineage: Eukaryota; Metazoa; Mollusca; Cephalopoda; Idiosepiidae. The record is from RNAcentral.
AUAUAAUUUGACUUUGGUUAUUAUAUAGGUUAUUACUAAGUUUAUAUAUGCUAGAUUUUAUUUUAUACGGUUUGUUUAUAAUUUAGUUAUUUUAAGUUUAAUAUUUGAAUUAAUUAUUUGUUAUUAAUAUUUUAUUAGAAUAUUUUAUAUAAGCUACGCAGUAUUUAUUAUUAUACAAUGGAUGAAAGUUUGAUAUAGGUAAUGUAAUUAAAAGUGGUUAAAUUGGUGCCAGCAUCUGCGGUUAUACUAAUACUUUAAAUUUAUAUAUAAUUUAGUAUAAAAUAAAGUUUAUUUAAAUUGAUUAAUAGAAUAUUUGAGAUUUAAAUAAUGGUAGGUAAAAUUUAAUUGUUAAUAUUAUUUUUAUUGUUCUAAUAUUGUAAUCUUUGAAAAUAGGGUGUAAAAACUAGGAUUAGAUACCCUACUAUUCCUUAUAAUAAAAAUUUUGUUACUUGAUUAGUAUAAAUGUAUAUAAAUAUUUACUUUUGUAUUUGAAAUUUAAAAAGUUUGGCGGUAUUAUAUAUCCUUUCAGGGGAGUUUGCUUAUUAAUUUGAUAAUCCUCAAUUUAUACUUACUUUUUUUAGUAUAAAUAAAUAGUUAUUUAUCAGUUUGUAUAUUUCUGUCAUCAGUUUAUUUUGUAAGAUAAUAUUAAAUAAACUUAAUAAUAAUAUUUGUUAUUAUGUCAAGUCAAAAUGCAGCUAAUAAAAAAGGUUUACAAAGUGAGCUACAAUUCAUAAUUUUUGAUCGGAUUAAUUCAUGUAAUUGUAUUAUGAAGUUGGACUUGAUAGUAAUAGUUUAAUAGUGUGUUGUUAUGAAUGUAGGUUUUAUAAUGCGUACAUAUCGCCCGUCGCUCUUGUUGGAAAAUAAGAUAAGUCGUAACACAGUAGGAGUAGUGGAAGCUGUUCCUGGAUUAAA